RNAcentral lists this long non-coding RNA (761 nucleotides) under Olea europaea subsp. europaea. The record is from RNAcentral. Lineage: Eukaryota; Viridiplantae; Streptophyta; Magnoliopsida; Lamiales; Oleaceae.
CUAGUCAGUUGUUAUUUGAAGCAUUUUAGGUCGAGAAUGUGGUAUUACACUCAUAUUCUUAUCUUCAACCAAAGUUGCCUCCUAAAUCAACAGAAAAGGUCACGGAUGUGUGUUUUUAAGGUUGUUAAUGUGCCGGGGGUUUAUGGGAUGUCGACAACAAAUAAUGGGCAGUGACGUCUAGUGAUUGGCGGGACAUGGUCCUUGAGAGUGGAGGGAGAGGUGGUGGUGGUAGUGACAGUGGCAAUAGCAACGGUCUCGCACAGUGUUUAAUAGACACAUGUAUAUGUAAUGUAUAUGUAUACAAGCAUACAUGAGUAUGUAUUUUGCUAUUUUUGUGUUUUGAGGGCAUUAGAUCUUGAAGUUUUGAUGGGCUUUUACAGAUGCGAAGAUAUUUGUGCAAUUGAAUAAGUUUAUAGCUGGAGGCCCUUUGUACAUUGUCAAAUAGGGGAUUCAAAUUCCGUAAGUAUUUUUCUUGAAAUCCUAGAUCAGUAAUUCUUUUUCAUUGAAUUUCUUUAAUUCACUCUCUCUUGUAUUUUUUACUGUCAUUUUUUACUUUUGUGUGGGCAUAUGAAGUGGGCUUGGCUUUUAAGUUGUGGUCCGAUUUUCCAGAAUUGCAAGGGGAAAAGAGAGUUGAUUUAAUUCAAGCAACGUCUGCGUAUAUUUGUCGAUUUUAAUUUGAGAAUUCUUUUAUCGGUUCCUAUGUCAUGAGUGAAUAGUGAUGUUAAGCUUAUUGAUCCGUACAGAAUCAAAAUAAGAUGGUG